RNAcentral lists this ribosomal RNA (433 nucleotides) under uncultured bacterium. RNAcentral describes it as "partial 16S ribosomal RNA". It matches the Rfam family "Bacterial small subunit ribosomal RNA", at positions 29 to 507 of the family's 1533-position model. The record is from RNAcentral.
AACGAACGCUGGCGGCAUGCCUAACACAUGCAAGUCGAACGAGACCUUCGGGUCUAGUGGCGCACGGGUGCGUAACGCGUGGGAACCUGCCCUUAGGUUUGGCCUACCUCUCCGAAUGGGGUGCUAAUACCGGAUCAUGUCUUCGGACGAAAGAUUUAUUGCCUUUGGAUGUGCCCGCGUUGGAUUAGCUAGUUGGUAGGGUAAAAGCCUACCAAGGCGUGAAUCCAUAGCUGGUUUGAGAGGAUGAUCAGCAACACUGGGACUGAGACACGGCCCAGACUCCUACGGGAGGCGGCAGUGGGGAAUAUUGGACAGUGGGCGAAAGCCUGAUCCAGCAAUGCCGCGUGAGUGAUGAAGGCCUUAGGGUUGUAAAGCUCUAUUACCCGGGAUGAUAAUGACAGUACCGAGAGAAUAAGCUCCGGCUAACUCCGUG